UUGGACGGUCAGAGGGGUGGGGUUCCACCCGGUCUCAUCCGAACCCGGAAGUUAAGACCACCUCCGUACGGGAUGGUACUGCAUUGCGCGGGAACUCCCGUAAGCUGUCCACC
This 113-nucleotide ribosomal RNA is filed under the name Candidatus Woesearchaeota archaeon. Lineage: Archaea; Nanobdellati; Candidatus Woesearchaeota. The record is from RNAcentral.